This 512-nucleotide ribosomal RNA is filed under the name uncultured bacterium. RNAcentral's name for it is "partial 16S ribosomal RNA". It matches the Rfam family "Bacterial small subunit ribosomal RNA", at positions 28 to 523 of the family's 1533-position model. The record is from RNAcentral.
GACGAACGCUGGCGGCGUGCCUAAUACAUGCAAGUCGAGCGAAUCAAUAGGAGCUUGCUCCUGUUGGUUAGCGGCGGACGGGUGAGUAACACGUGGGCAACCUGCCUGUAAGACUGGGAUAACAUCGGGAAACCGAUGCUAAUACCGGAUAAUUCAUUCCCUCUCAUGAGGGAAUGUUGAAAGUCGGUUUCGGCUGUCACUUACAGAUGGGCCCGCGGCGCAUUAGCUAGUUGGUGAGGUAACGGCUCACCAAGGCGACGAUGCGUAGCCGACCUGAGAGGGUGAUCGGCCACACUGGGACUGAGACACGGCCCAGAAUCCUACGGGAGGCAGCAGUAGGGAAUCUUCCACAAUGGACGAAAGUCUGAUGGAGCGACGCCGCGUGAGCGAUGAAGGCCUUCGGGUCGUAAAGCUCUGUUGUUAGGGAAGAACAUGUACCGGAGUAACUGCCGGUACCUUGACGGUACCUAACCAGAAAGCCACGGCUAACUACGUGCCAGCCGCCGCGGUAA